This is a long non-coding RNA of Solenopsis invicta (red fire ant), 979 nucleotides long. RefSeq lists it as uncharacterized. The transcript is spliced from 3 exons. NCBI's taxonomy places the organism in Eukaryota, Metazoa, Arthropoda, Insecta, Hymenoptera, Formicidae. The record is from RefSeq and is a predicted model, not a curated record.
UUUCGCAGCGCUUCUUUUCUUUUCAACGCGGCGCGGCGCGGGUCUCGGGUCUCGCGUCCCGCGGGGCGUGGGUGCGUGGGUGCGUGGACGUUCCAAGUUCAAACGCGCGCUCUGUCAUUCGCGUGAGUCGACUUUUUUUCUCGUGAUUCAUCCGCGUCCGGCGUCCGUGUUCUCGACAGAGAUCCGAUGGAUGCAGAAUACGCGCCCCCGGACGAACGCGCGAUGAUCGUCCGUCGCCGCCGUCGCUGCCGCCGCUUUCACGUCGACGAUGCGAGCCCUAACCCAGGACACUCGGGCGACUUGGCGCAUUGUCGUCACGACAUUUAUGGUAAUACGUUAUGCGCAUUCCUACGCUGCCACGGCAUUUCGUUCGCGUGUGCGUAUUGUGACACGGCAACGACACGUAUGAGUCUCUUGACAAAAGGAAAAGUAUCUUAAAGCCAGUGGGUUUUGAAAAGGGCACUCACGAUUAACACGUUGAUUACCGCAAUAGUCAUUCAUAUUCCGAUUUUAUUUUUCAAUGGAAUCCUGGAUUUCUAAUGUGACCGGCUCUUAUUGAAAUCUUUUGAAGCACUUGUAAGAAGUUCAAGCUUCAAGGCAACAUUACCUGAUACCUCAGUUUUUGAGAUGCAUCAUAUUUUUUGUAUACAAGUUAUAUCUUUAUUACUGCAUUUCGAUGUAGAUUAUUAUUAUUAUCAUUAUUAUUAUUAGUAGUAGUAAUAGUAGUAGUAGUAGUAGUAGUAGUAGUAGUAGUAGUAGUAGUAGUAGUAGUAAAAUGGUUCUCGGUUUUUUAAAAGAAAAUAUUUCGAAAAUUACAUUAGCAAACAAAGUCGCAUAAUAAAUAGUUCGCAUUAAUAAAAAAGGCAAAAUGUAUUAAUUAUUAGCAAGCAAAUGUGACAUUUUCUACGAUUGUAAAUAAACAUUUAAUGAAUAUAAACAAACUUAAUUGUGGUGACAAAAUAUACAUUUCUGUGAAAUA